CAUUAAUGGCGCGCUGUAAUGAACGCCAGAGUCCCAGAGAUAGCAGAGAAGCCACUCAGGUUUUCAAGACCCUAAACCUCACCAGGGCCUUCCUACAGAAAACAAACAAGUUCCACCUUAUAUAGCCUGAAUACAUCACCACCGCAUACUGCAUCUUUGGGGCACUAGAGGUUGUGACACAGCCUGCACAGCCCCAACAAACCCCCAAGAAGGCUAGAGAGGCAAUCAGCUGUGCUUUGUGUCAAAUUACCUUUCCCUUGACUCAGACGUCAUUACUUUGUGGUGGUGGUGUCUCUUACUGCUCUCAGGAUUGUGUUGAGGUAUGGAGAAAUACAUGAAGAGGAGGAGGAAGAGGAAGGAAGAGGUAGAGGUAGAUAAAAAGAGGAAGAGAAGAAAGGAGGAAUGAAGAGAAAAAAGAAAAGAACGUUACCAUGGCUGGAACACUUCAACAUCAUUGUGUGCAAGUUUGGAGCCACCAACCUAUUGGUGGUGGUGGUGGUGGCGUGAAGCCUGCAGGAUGAAAUAGAGGUGUGUGAGUGGCAGCCCAGCGCUCAGUCUCCGCCCCACCAAUGCAAUAAUACAGAUUGUGUUAAGAUAUGGAGAGAGACCAAGGCAAGAGGAGGAAGAGGUAGAGGAAGAUAAGAAGAGG
Molecule: long non-coding RNA, 649 nt
Organism: Portunus trituberculatus (swimming crab)
Lineage: Eukaryota; Metazoa; Arthropoda; Malacostraca; Decapoda; Portunidae
Exons: 4
Source: RefSeq, a predicted model, not a curated record